Molecule: ribosomal RNA, 446 nt
Filed under: uncultured prokaryote
Description: bacterial SSU rRNA
Rfam family: Bacterial small subunit ribosomal RNA
Source: RNAcentral
UCGAGAAUCUUCCGCAAUGGACGCAAGUCUGACGGAGCGACGCCGCGUGCGGGAUGAAGGCCUUCGGGUUGUAAACCGCUGUCAGAGAGGCGGAAAUGCAUGGUGGUUAUCCUCCAUGUUUGACCUAAUCUCAGAGGAAGGCCGGGCUAAGUUCGUGCCAGCAGCCGCGGUAACACGAACCGGUCGAACGUUAUUCGGAAUCACUGGGCUUAAAGAGUGCGUAGGCGGCGUGGCAAGUUGGGUGUGAAAUCCCUCGGCUCAACCGAGGAAUUGCGCUCAAAACUGCCAUGCUUGAGGGAGACAGAGGUGAGCGGAACUGAUGGUGGAGCGGUGAAAUGCGUUGAUAUCAUCAGGAACACCGGUGGCGAAGGCGGCUCACUGGGUCUCUUCUGACGCUGAGGCACGAAAGCUAGGGGAGCGAACGGGAUUAGAUACCCCCGUAGUCC